This is a ribosomal RNA of 1037 nucleotides. It matches the Rfam family "Bacterial small subunit ribosomal RNA", at positions 56 to 1104 of the family's 1533-position model.
UGCAGUCGAACGAUGAAGCCCAGCUUGCUGGGUGGAUUAGUGGCGAACGGGUGAGUAACACGUGAGUAACCUGCCCUUAACUCUGGGAUAAGCCUGGGAAACUGGGUCUAAUACCGGAUAGGAGCGUCCACCGCAUGGUGGGUGUUGGAAAGAUUUAUCGGUUUUGGAUGGACUCGCGGCCUAUCAGCUUGUUGGUGAGGUAAUGGCUCACCAAGGCGACGACGGGUAGCCGGCCUGAGAGGGUGACCGGCCACACUGGGACUGAGACACGGCCCAGACUCCUACGGGAGGCAGCAGUGGGGAAUAUUGCACAAUGGGCGAAAGCCUGAUGCAGCGACGCCGCGUGAGGGAUGACGGCCUUCGGGUUGUAAACCUCUUUCAGUAGGGAAGAAGCGAAAGUGACGGUACCUGCAGAAGAAGCACCGGCUAACUACGUGCCAGCAGCCGCGGUAAUACGUAGGGUGCGAGCGUUAUCCGGAAUUAUUGGGCGUAAAGAGCUCGUAGGCGGUUUGUCGCGUCUGUCGUGAAAGUCCGGGGCUUAACCCCGGAUCUGCGGUGGGUACGGGCAGACUAGAGUGCAGUAGGGGAGACUGGAAUUCCUGGUGUAGCGGUGGAAUGCGCAGAUAUCAGGAGGAACACCGAUGGCGAAGGCAGGUCUCUGGGCUGUAACUGACGCUGAGGAGCGAAAGCAUGGGGAGCGAACAGGAUUAGAUACCCUGGUAGUCCAUGCCGUAAACGUUGGGCACUAGGUGUGGGGACCAUUCCACGGUUUCCGCGCCGCAGCUAACGCAUUAAGUGCCCCGCCUGGGGAGUACGGCCGCAAGGCUAAAACUCAAAGGAAUUGACGGGGGCCCGCACAAGCGGCGGAGCAUGCGGAUUAAUUCGAUGCAACGCGAAGAACCUUACCAAGGCUUGACAUGUUCUCGAUCGCCGUAGAGAUACGGUUUCCCCUUUGGGGCGGGUUCACAGGUGGUGCAUGNUUGUCGUCAGCUCGUGUCGUGAGAUGUUGGGGUUAAGUCCCGCAACGAGCGCAACCC